UUGUGGCUAUAUCAAGUUGAAACAUCGGCUCUCGUACGAUUGCCGAAGUUAAGCAACAUCGACCCUGCUCAGUACCUAGAUGGGUGACCGUUUCGGAAUACCAGGUUCUGUAA
Acanthosepion pharaonis is the source of this 113-nucleotide non-coding RNA. Lineage: Eukaryota; Metazoa; Mollusca; Cephalopoda; Sepiida; Sepiidae. The record is from the annotation of a GenBank genome assembly.